Molecule: ribosomal RNA, 880 nt
Filed under: uncultured bacterium
Lineage: Bacteria
Description: bacterial SSU rRNA
Rfam family: Bacterial small subunit ribosomal RNA
Source: RNAcentral
GUUUGAUCAUGGCUCAGGACGAACGCUGGCGGCAUGCCUAACACAUGCAAGUCGAACGGAGAUAUUAAUGAAGCUUGCGAUUUAAUAUCUUAGUGGCGGACGGGUGAGUAACGCGUGGGUAAUCUGCCCAUAAGUGGGGGACAACAGUUGGAAACGACUGCUAAUACCGCAUAUGCUGAGUAAUCAGUAAAGAUGGCCUCUGAAUAUGCUGUCGCUUAUGGAUGAGCCCGCGUCUGAUUAGCUAGUUGGUGGGGCAAUGGCCUACCAAGGCGACGAUCAGUAGCCGGCCUGAGAGGGUGAACGGCCACACUGGGACUGAGACACGGCCCAGACUCCUACGGGAGGCAGCAGUGGGGAAUAUUGCGCAAUGGGGGAAACCCUGACGCAGCGACGCCGCGUGAGCGAUGAAGGCCUUAGGGUUGUAAAGCUCUGUUUUAAGGGACGAAUGUUACGGGAAGUAAUAUGUCCUGUAAAUGACGGUACCUUAAGAGGAAGCCCCGGCUAACUACGUGCCAGCAGCCGCGGUAAGACGUAGGGGGCGAGCGUUGUCCGGAAUUACUGGGCGUAAAGAGCACGUAGGCGGGAACUUAAGUCAGGUGUGAAAGACCGAGGCUCAACCUCGGGGUGGCACUUGAAACUGGGUUUCUUGAGGGCAGGAGAGGAAAGUAGAAUUCCUGGUGUAGCGGUGAAAUGCGUAGAAAUCAGGAGGAAUACCAGUGGCGAAGGCGACUUUCUGGACUGACCCUGACGCUGAGGUGCGAAAGCGUGGGUAGCAAACAGGAUUAGAUACCCUGGUAGUCCACGCCGUAAACGAUGGAUACUAGGUGUGGGAGGUAUCGACCCCUUCCGUGCCGCAGCUAACGCAAUAAGUAUCCCGCCU